This 429-nucleotide ribosomal RNA is filed under the name Actinomycetes bacterium. Its description in RNAcentral is "Actinobacteria bacterium partial 16S ribosomal RNA". It matches the Rfam family "Bacterial small subunit ribosomal RNA", at positions 355 to 776 of the family's 1533-position model. Lineage: Bacteria; Bacillati; Actinomycetota; Actinomycetes. The record is from RNAcentral.
UAGGGAAUCUUCCGCAAUGGGCGAAAGCCUGACGGAGCAACGCCGCGUGAGUGAUGAAGGUCUUCGGAUCGUAAAACUCUGUUAUUAGGGAAGAACAAAUGUGUAAGUAACUAUGCACGUCUUGACGGUACCUAAUCAGAAAGCCACGGCUAACUACGUGCCAGCAGCCGCGGUAAUACGUAGGUGGCAAGCGUUAUCCGGAAUUAUUGGGCGUAAAGCGCGCGUAGGCGGUUUUUUAAGUCUGAUGUGAAAGCCCACUGCUCAACCGUGGAGGGUCAUUGGAAACUGGAAAACUUGAGUGCAGAAGAGGAAAGUGGAAUUCCAUGUGUAGCGGUGAAAUGCGCAGAGAUAUGGAGGAACACCAGUGGCGAAGGCGACUUUCUGGUCUGUAACUGACGCUGAUGUGCGAAAGCGUGGGGAUCAAACAGG